GGGUGGGGGUCGAGCGGCCAGAGGGAGCACGUACCCGUGCUCUCCCCCCGGAACGGGGACCGCCUCCUUCCCUCUCCAGGCAGGGCGACGCGCCCUGUAGACGCCCCCCUCGUGGUGGUUAUCGGAGCAUCUGCGAGGAAGGAGCGUCCACUGGGGACCCGAGACCCAUUUUAUCAGCUCUCUGUGCAGAGACUCAUUUGAGGCCUGCGGUGAUGAUUGAAAUAAGGAUGCGCCCCCGGUGACUAUGGAAACCUCAGAAGGUGGCCUCCAGUAGAAGAGAUAAGUAGGACUCAAGGCCGCCCUGAAGCUGGCAGUACCCGUUGCAGGGCACCCGGCUGGGGGCACCUGGUCCCGGAAUGCGCUGUGGUUCCCCAGCGACCUGUGAGCGUAUAGGCCGCGGAAGCCGCUUCUAGGGGACCCUCCCUCUGCCCCUCCCGCGCUCCUCUGAGAACUGUUACCUUAAUAGGCAAGAACUGGGAGAAGGCGAGAGAUGCCGCUUCCCAAACACCCAGAAGGCUGAUCCUCACCCUGCUCCUCCUGGCCAGCGGAUCCCCGGGUCUUGCUGGAUUCCGCUGAUGGGAGGGCUUGGAAAGGAAUCCAAUUCCUUGGGCAUUGUUGUGAUGUUGAGAUAGGAGAAAGGGGGGCAGGUUUUGUUUUGCUUUAUUUUAUUACGUUAGGCUGCUGGCGGGGAAACCAGGCUCCCACUCCUGUUGACUAAGUGUCUGCAAUAUGUGGUGCCAGACAGUAUGGGGGCGACGAGAAAGUGUAAAAUCCGGGGAGCCUAUGCAUUAAUUCAGCAAAAUCAUCAGUACCUAUCAUAGGCCUGGCAGCACUGUCUAUGGUGGUAGAGACAAAUCUGUAAGCAAAUAAUUAGAGCAAGGUGAGGAGGUUGGGCAGGGUGAGGGUCAGCAGCCGCUGGCCCCAGGCAUUGGGCAGGGAAGGCCUUGCUGAGGAGAGUGGGCCUGAGCUGGUCCUGAAUGAGUCUGAGCAGAGAGGAAGAGCAGAAGGGGCAGCAUGUGCAAAAGCACAGGGCUGGAGAGAACAAGGCCUCCUGGAGGGCCCAUGAGAACUGCUGUAGCCUGAGUGGAGCAGAGGGAGACAUAAUGCCUGGAGCUGUAGAACAUUCUGUGACUAUAAGGAAAGGCCAAGAGAAUUGAGGGCCUUCCAGCCAGGAGAUUGUUGAACUGUUGAACCAACACCAGCAGCCACUUACCUCCGGAUUUCUUGUUAUGUUUGAUGCUUGAAAUGACUGCAUGAAAUUUUUGAUCAAGACUUGUAGAUGAUGAUCUCUUCAAUGUUUAAACAUUUCUCACUGAUGAGAAACUUAAUUAAAAAUAAAUUCUGAUUUGAGGUAUAACUGACAUACAUUAUGUUAAUUUUAAAUGUACAACACAAUGAUUUGUUAUUUGUAUAUACUUAUCAUCUAUUAAAAAUGCAUGACCAAGCUCCUCUUUAACAUGGUGGAAGUUUUUUUGUAAUUGCUAUAUAGUUGAUUUAUAAUAUUGUGUUAGUUUCAGGUGUACAUCAAAGUGAUUCAGUU
This is a non-coding RNA of Vicugna pacos (alpaca), 1540 nucleotides long. Lineage: Eukaryota; Metazoa; Chordata; Mammalia; Artiodactyla; Camelidae. The record is from RefSeq and is a predicted model, not a curated record.